This is a long non-coding RNA of Osmia bicornis bicornis, 339 nucleotides long. RefSeq lists it as uncharacterized. The record is from RefSeq and is a predicted model, not a curated record. The transcript has 2 exons. NCBI's taxonomy places the organism in Eukaryota, Metazoa, Arthropoda, Insecta, Hymenoptera, Megachilidae.
UGUGUUUGCGUGGAUAUGUAUAUGUGUCUGUGUAUGCUAUCAGAGAAGACCCGGUGAGCUACCUCGAGCGAACAGAAAAGCAAACAGAGCCAACGUCUCGGCAAUUAAUUUUCACUUUGAACGCCAAAGAGUCGUCACAAGGUGUAAAGCACGUGAUUGCAGUCAGGCCAAUUCUAUAAUUAUCCUGGACAUUGACAAUAGGCGGUCAAUCAUUGCUUCAAAAAUUAAUUAUUACUUAGCGAGUCUGUUAUACAAGAGUGUUAGUAGCGCUGUUAACGUGUAUCAAUUAAGACGUUAAGUUGUAUCUAAUUUCUUCUGCCAAUAAACUGUUUAAACGAU